ACUUGAUCCAUCUGACACUAGAACAUUUAAAGGGGCUACAAGUCCUCUUAAGACUCCGCGCUUCUUGGACUUCAAGGCUUUUUGAACAAGGUUGAGCUGAUGCUGGAUUACCAGGGAAUCUAUGCCGUUGCACUGGAUACAGGCCCAUUGUGGAGAGUGCGAGAAGUUUCAGCCCUAACUCAGCUUGCUGCCCGAUGAAUGAGAAAUGGAAAUGUUGCUUGGAUGAAGGAAAAAACGAGCCUGAGAGAAAAACAGUGU
Molecule: long non-coding RNA, 258 nt
Filed under: Rattus norvegicus (Norway rat)
Lineage: Eukaryota; Metazoa; Chordata; Mammalia; Rodentia; Muridae
Description: long non-coding RNA NONRATT029403
Source: RNAcentral